GGCGUGUUCGUCUAGCUGGCCCAGGACGCUGCCCUCUCAAGGCGGAGAUCACGGGUUCGAAUCCCGUACACGCUA
This 75-nucleotide transfer RNA is filed under the name Chlorobiales bacterium. It matches the Rfam family "tRNA". From Rfam's summary of the family: Transfer RNA (tRNA) molecules are approximately 80 nucleotides in length. Lineage: Bacteria; Pseudomonadati; Chlorobiota; Chlorobiia; Chlorobiales. The record is from Rfam by way of RNAcentral.